This 397-nucleotide ribosomal RNA is filed under the name uncultured bacterium. RNAcentral's name for it is "bacterial SSU rRNA". It matches the Rfam family "Bacterial small subunit ribosomal RNA", at positions 362 to 776 of the family's 1533-position model. The record is from RNAcentral.
UAUUGCACAAUGGGGGAAACCCUGAUGCAGCGACGCCGCGUGGGUGACGAAGUAUUUCGGUAUGUAAAGCCCUAUCAGCAGGGAAGAAGAUGACAGUACCUGACCAAGAAGCCCCGGCUAACUACGUGCCAGCAGCCGCGGUAAUACGUAGGGGGCAAGCGUUAUCCGGAUUUACUGGGUGUAAAGGGAGCGUAGACGGCGAAGAAAGUCUGAAGUGAAAGCCCGCGGCUUAACCGCGGAACUGCUUUGGAAACUUUUUUGCUGGAGUACCGGAGAGGUAAGCGGAAUUCCUAGUGUAGCGGUGAAAUGCGUAGAUAUUAGGAGGAACACCAGUGGCGAAGGCGGCUUACUGGACGGUAACUGACGUUGAGGCUCGAAAGCGUGGGGAGCAAACAGG